AGUGGCGGACGGGUGAGUAACGCGUGGGCAACCUCGCCCCAGUACCGGGGGAUAACAGCUGGAAAACGGCUGCUAAUACCGCAUAAGCGCACGGCACCGCAUGGUGCAGUGUAGAAAAACUCCGGUGGUAUGAGAUGGACCCGCGUUGGAUUAGCUGGUUGGUGAGGUAACGGCUCACCAAGGCGACGAUCCAUAGCCGACCUGAGAGGGUGACCGGCCACAUUGGGACUGAGAUACGGCCCAGACUCCUACGGGAGGCAGCAGGUGGGGAAUUAUUGGGCAAUGGGCGAAAGCCUGACCCAGCAACGCCGCGUGAGUGAAGAAGGUCUUCGGAUCGUAAAGCUCUGUUGUCGGGGACGAAUGUUGAGGCCUAGAACAUAGGUUUCAAAUGACGGUACCUGACGAGGAAGCCACGGCUAACUACGUG
This 427-nucleotide ribosomal RNA is filed under the name uncultured bacterium. Its description in RNAcentral is "bacterial SSU rRNA". It matches the Rfam family "Bacterial small subunit ribosomal RNA", at positions 94 to 507 of the family's 1533-position model. The record is from RNAcentral.